CUGGACAAUCCUGGCAUGUAUGGCAAUGCAGACACCACAUCAGUGGAUACACUAAUGGAUAAGAAUAGCAUUGAGGUGCCAUAUUCACAUUUCGGAGAGUUGGCUCCUGGUCCAACAAUGGCUGAAUUGUCCUCUUCAGAAAUAGAGGAAAUGACUCAACCCCUUGAAGUGAAAUGCAAUUAUUUUAACUUUCCUCAUGGUAGUGACUCUGAGCCUUUUGGUGAAGAUUUUCUAGAUGCACAGAAUACAAACUGCCCCAAAGAGAAAAUACCCAACCAUCACAAAGAGGAGAAGCGUAAUUCUCCAUCUGAAAGAACAUGUACGCCUGUUACUCAAACCUUUGCUUCUGCUGGUAAUAAAGUCCACCCUGUCUGCAGUGAUGUUAUUAAAACUCAGCCAUUACCUGGAAGUAGUAUAACUCAUGGCGCACUUCAGGAAGGCGACUCUUUGGAUAAACUCUAUGCUCUUUGUGGUCAACAUUGUCCGAUACUAACUGUUAUUAUUCAACCUGUAAAUGAGGAAGACCGAGGAUUUGCUUAUCGAAAAGAUUCCGAUAUUGAAAAUUCUUUGGGUUUUCAGUUAUGGAUGGAAAUAUAUCCAUUUCUGCUACAGUCAAAGAAAAACAUGUUCACAAGUGAGAGCAGGAAAGUGAAUGUGGGCAAACAAUUUACUGAUAAUGCCAUUGGUAAUCUGUGUGAUCGACUUUAUUUCAAAAACAUGAUUGACUUGGUGGAUAAAAGAGCUAACUCUUUGAGGGAGGAAGUUAAUUUGAACAAAGUUCAAUUAUAUUUAAAGAAAAGGUUUUCAGAUCUUUUGCCUUCAUCGUCACUAGUGGUGUGGGAUAUGAAUUCUGUUUCACUAACCCCCAGCAACUGGACAGAUAACUUCAAAAGUGUUGAUGAGAACAACUUCAUUAACAGAUUCCAGAACUCAAGAAAAAAUCCCAACCAAGUAGUAAGAGAAGAAAACAGUUGUCAAUUCCAUUGGGAGCUGUUUGGUCAAGUUUACUUGUUAGAUAUUUGCCAAGUUGAGAAAUCCUUACAUAUCAAAACCAGAAGUAAAUUAGAAAUAUAUUACAUUUUAGGGGGUGAAGUUCUUUUCAUUUGGGAAGAAGAAAAUCAAUUAAAUAUAAUAGAUAUUGAAAGCCCUAAUGAUCAGAAUGAUUUAUAACUUCAAUAUUAGCACAAUCAUUAGCUGUCAAUUAUGUUUUUCCCAUAAAAAGGUACAGUACAUGGGAUAGACUUUAGGCUAGAUUCUCUAAGAAUUCCUUGCUUUUUCAAAAUGAGAAUACCUUGGAAAACAUAUUCUUGGAUAAAAUAAAUUUGUUUUUUUUUAUUGCUUUGUUCCUCAUUUUCUCAGUAAUUAAAGUUUUAUGUAGUUUUAUUUUAAACAUGCAUUAUUUUGUAUAGCUAUGAUUUUGUCUGAUCAGGAUAUAAGAAAUAUGGCCAGGACAAGAAAUAUGUCCUUAAAAUGUUGUCAAGUGCAUAUAUGAUAUUGAAUAUAUUAGUGAAUAAAUAUAACUUUAAACUAUUUCAUUUAAGUGCUGAUUGAAUAAAAAGUAUUAUUAAAGCUC
Molecule: long non-coding RNA, 1573 nt
Filed under: Rattus norvegicus (Norway rat)
Lineage: Eukaryota; Metazoa; Chordata; Mammalia; Rodentia; Muridae
Description: long non-coding RNA NONRATT022064
Source: RNAcentral